GGCUCAGGAUGAACGCUGGCGGCGUGCCUAACACAUGCAAGUCGAACGGGGUAGCAAUACCCAGUGGCGGACGGGUGAGUAACGCGUGAGAAUCUGUCCACGGGACGGGGACAACGGUUGGAAACGACCGCUAAUACCCGAUGUGCCGAGAGGUGAAACUUAUAUGGCCCGUGGGGGAGCUCGCGUCCGAUUAGCUUGGCGGUGUAAGGGACCACCAAGGCGACGAUCGGUAGCUGGUCUGAGAGGAUGAGCAGCCACACUGGGACUGAGACACGGCCCAGACUCCUACGGGAGGCAGCAGUGGGGAAUUUUCCGCAAUGGGCGAAAGCCUGACGGAGCAACGCCGCGUGAGGGAGGAAGGUCCUUGGAUUGUAAACCUCUUUUCUCGAGGAAGAAGUCAGUGACGGUACUCGAGGAAUCAGCCUCGGCUAACUCCGUGCCAGCAGCCGCGGUAAUACGGGGGAGGCAAGCGUUAUCCGGAAUUAUUGGGCGUAAAGCGUCCGCAGGUGGUCUAUCAAGUCUGCCGUCAAAGCGCGCGGCUUAACCGCGUACCGGCGGUGGAAACUGGAAGACUAGAGAGCAGUAGGGGUAGCGGGAAUUCCCAGUGUAACGGUGAAAUGCGUAGAGAUUGGGAAGAACAUCGGUGGCGAAAGCGCGCUACUGGGCUGUAUCUGACACUCAGGGACGAAAGCUAGGGUAGCGAAAGGGAUUAGAUACCCCUGUAGUCCUAGCCGUAAACGAUGGAUACUAGGCGUGGCUUGUAUCGACCCGAGCCGUGCCGAAGCUAACGCGUUAAGUAUCCCGCCUGGGGAGUACGCGCGCAAGCGUGA
This 830-nucleotide ribosomal RNA is filed under the name uncultured bacterium. RNAcentral's name for it is "bacterial SSU rRNA". It matches the Rfam family "Bacterial small subunit ribosomal RNA", at positions 21 to 897 of the family's 1533-position model. The record is from RNAcentral.